This 514-nucleotide ribosomal RNA is filed under the name uncultured bacterium. Its description in RNAcentral is "bacterial SSU rRNA". It matches the Rfam family "Bacterial small subunit ribosomal RNA", at positions 126 to 674 of the family's 1533-position model. The record is from RNAcentral.
CUACCCAACCCUACGGAAUAGCUCCGGGAAACUGGAAUUAAUACCGUAUACGCCCUAUGGGGGAAAGAUUUAUCGGGGAUGGAUGAGCCCGCGUUGGAUUAGCUAGUUGGUGGGGUAAAGGCCUACCAAGGCGACGAUCCAUAGCUGGUCUGAGAGGAUGAUCAGCCACAUUGGGACUGAGACACGGCCCAAACUCCUACGGGAGGCAGCAGUGGGGAAUAUUGGACAAUGGGCGCAAGCCUGAUCCAGCCAUGCCGCGUGAGUGAUGAAGGCCCUAGGGUUGUAAAGCUCUUUCACCGGUGAAGAUAAUGACGGUAACCGGAGAAGAAGCCCCGGCUAACUUCGUGCCAGCAGCCGCGGUAAUACGAAGGGGGCUAGCGUUGUUCGGAAUUACUGGGCGUAAAGCGCACGUAGGCGGAUAUUUAAGUCAGGGGUGAAAUCCCAGAGCUCAACUCUGGAACUGCCUUUGAUACUGGGUAUCUUGAGUAUGGAAGAGGUAAGUGGAAUUCCGAGU